Molecule: ribosomal RNA, 442 nt
Filed under: uncultured bacterium
Lineage: Bacteria
Description: partial 16S ribosomal RNA
Rfam family: Bacterial small subunit ribosomal RNA
Source: RNAcentral
CCUACGGGGAGCUGCAGUGGGGAAUAUUGGGCAAUGGAGGAAACUCUGACCCAGCAACGCCGCGUGAAUGAUGAAGGUCUUCGGAUUGUAAAGUUCUUUUCUAAGGGAAGAAGAAAGUGACGGUACCUUAGGAAUAAGCCUCGGCUAACUACGUGCCAGCAGCCGCGGUAAUACGUAGGAGGCGAGCGUUAUCCGGAUUUAUUGGGUUUAAAGGGUGCGUAGGCGGAACAUUAAGUCAGCGGUAAAAUCGAGGGGCUCAACCCCUUUAAGCCGUUGAAACUGGUGAUCUUGAGUGGGCGAGAAGUAUGCGGAAUGCGUGGUGUAGCGGUGAAAUGCAUAGAUAUCACGAAGAACUCCGAUUGCGAAGGCAGCAUACCGGCGCCCGACUGACGCUGAGGCACGAAAGCGUGGGGAUCGAACAGGAUUAGAUACCCCGGUAGUC